UGGAGGUGUGCAGAAGCUUGCAGCGGCGGCGCAGGGAUGGAUGCAGGGAGGUGCGGAGCUACUGUUGCCGGUCGCUUCGACGAUCUGCUGCUGCUGGCCAGCACUCCAGGCCCGCGAGAACCGCUUCAGCCUUGGAGCUAGGGGUGGCAAGGUCUGCCUUGUCUGCAUCAACCAAGAUGACGUGUAGGUUAAAAUCGUAUCGGAGGAGGAGGAGCUGAAGGGUGUGAAGCUGGGUUACUGGGAAGAGCAGGUGCGGUAACAGACAUCACCCACGACAUCCAUAAGUGCAUCGGGUUGAAAUCUUAUCGGAGGAGGAGGAGCUGAAGGGCGUGAAGCGGGGUUACCGGAAGAGCAUGCGCCAUGACAAAUAUCAUCCACGACAUCCAGAAAUGAACCGAUUAGGCGCUCCGGUGGCUGCCAAUGGACUACGUUGUAUCCAUCAAGUGCAGCGCGGCUCCUGCUGAUUGCUCUUCUCCGAGGCCCUUGCCUAUCAGGUUAUCACUGCCCCCAUUGUCUAUUUGGUUCAGCACACAUUGCCGUGCAUCUUUUGCUUCCAAGUGUGUUGCUGGAUUAUGAAGUAAUGAAGAGUGGCAAGCAAUCUUGUCGUUCAAGUCAUUGUUUCAAUAUACACUGUCGUGUUCAAGAUCGAAUCGAUCGCCAUGUUUCCUAUUCCAGAUGUAGACUGUUGUAGUUGCAGGUACAUGUCAUGGCCCAGAAUAGACUAGCACUGCUUUCCUAUUCCAGAUGUUUCCUCGUCAAACUAUUGUGUUUUGGUGCUCAUGGUGUUUGUGGUUCACUGUGAUGAUGAAGCACUGAUUAGAUGACCCAUGCAGCCCAUUCCAGUAAACCAUUGGGAUAAAACGAGGCAUUUGUCUGAGAGAAACAAUCUUUUUUUUUUCUUUGCCCUGUGAUGCUGUUGCGGGAAGAGUAGAAAUGGUACUUUACAAUGUUGUAUGUGUCACUUGUAACCCACUCUUGGUAGUGGAGAUUGGAGAAAACAUACUUUAUAAAACUAACUGUCAUCUUUUGUUGUUCAACAGGACCCUGACCUGAUAGCAGCAUUCAGUGACCCAGAGAUUAUGGCCACUCAAUAAGAUCCCCUGUUUUCUUUAUGCUACUAUUCCUUGCUAUAGUUAGCCUUCUUGGUCAAGUCUUCAUGUUGGAGAAGAAGUGCUUAAUGUAUGUAAAUGUCUGCCUAGGAGUAAGUGUUAUCUCUUUGAAAAGUCGGAAGUCUGGAUGUAGAGUAGAGUGGUCAUAAGGGGUAUGUGAGUGCAAAUUUGAGGUGAGUAAUGGAAGGUGUGGAUUAGCUUAAUUGAAUGUUAUGAACACAUGAACAUACUAUACAGGUGAUGUACAUUUAAUUUUGCAAUCUGGCUAGUAAAGUAAUUUGAUGACAUCCUCAUGCUAGAUUACUAGCAGAGAUGAUUUUCCUAAUUCAGGGUAGUAAAGUAACUGUAUGGUUUAAAUAUUUCCUCUGUAUACAUGAAAGAAUUAUCAUGCCUUGAAAAAGUUUAGCCAUUUUUUCUUGUUUGUUUUUGCUGCUUUAGGGCGGUUUCCUGUAGAACUGGCUGCUUUAUUCUACAUUCUUCUAUUCCUACUAUAAUUUAAACAUUGAUCUGACCUUGUGUGCUUGAAACUGUGUGCAGUGAUGCGCAAACCUGCCAACUUCGGCAAGCACCAAGCCAACCUGAAGGUGGGCCCCAUCAUAGCCAAGAUGAAUGGGCCCUCUUACUGAGUGUCGUGAGCAUGUGACCAACUAGCAUUUCCGCGACCUGCGAAAGAAGGAAUUCUCCGGCCAAGUGUUGUCUUUUUUGUGCAUCUGGAGCGACACUUUGAUCUUGAGGAUCUUACUUAUGCUCUAUUUCUUGUUAGUAGCUCGUAGAAGACAAUUUGGGAUGAUGAUGGUUGUGGGUUUUGUUUGUACUGUUGAAAUGCCUGGUAUAUAUCUUGGUGAAGGAGAAUGGAUGUUUUUGCUCAGUCGAUAUUUGUUUGCUUGUGCCAGCAUUCACAACUCGUGGGCAUGGGUUUCAGAGGAUUAAAACGAGGAUAUGUUCACACA
Molecule: long non-coding RNA, 2059 nt
Organism: Lolium perenne
Lineage: Eukaryota; Viridiplantae; Streptophyta; Magnoliopsida; Poales; Poaceae
Source: RefSeq, a predicted model, not a curated record